Vanessa atalanta (red admiral) is the source of this 300-nucleotide long non-coding RNA. RefSeq lists it as uncharacterized. The transcript is spliced from 2 exons. The record is from RefSeq and is a predicted model, not a curated record. NCBI's taxonomy places the organism in Eukaryota, Metazoa, Arthropoda, Insecta, Lepidoptera, Nymphalidae.
AGAGGAAAUGCUGGCCCUGGUAAUGGCCCUAGUGCUGGUCCCUACGGACCUUACGGUAAUCAAGGCCCGAAUGCCGUCAUCAUUAACAACAAAUCACCUUCAUCUGGUCCAUCAGCUUCCGCUGCAGCCUCAGCUGCAGCCGCUUCUGGGCCACAAGGCCAAAAUAACGGUCCUCUUGGAAACGGACCUGGUAAUGGCGCAGGACAAGGUGGCGUAACUGUCAUCAACGAUAACGGAUCUGGUUCAGGUUCUUCAAGCGCAAGCGCAGCAAGCGCUGCAGCUUCUGGUCCUAAUGGAGGA